This 775-nucleotide ribosomal RNA is filed under the name uncultured Neocallimastigales. RNAcentral describes it as "partial large subunit ribosomal RNA". It matches the Rfam family "Eukaryotic large subunit ribosomal RNA", at positions 23 to 645 of the family's 3401-position model. Lineage: Eukaryota; Fungi; Neocallimastigomycota; Neocallimastigomycetes; Neocallimastigales. The record is from RNAcentral.
AGAGAGAGACAUGCGCGCAUAUCAAUAAGCGGAGGAAAAGAAACUAACUAGGAUUCCCUCAGUAACGGCGAGUGAAGCGGGAAGAGCUCAAAUUUGAAAUCUUCAAGGGUUCUACCUUGACGAAUUGUAGUUUAAAGAAGUGUUUUCUGUUGGAGUUUUGGUAAAAGUUCUUUGGAAUAGGACAUCAUAGAGGGUGAGAAUCCCGUAUUUGACCAUUAUUUUCCAGCUGUGUGAUACACUUUCAAAGAGUCGGAUUGUUUGGGAAUGCAGUCCAAAAUGGGUGGUAAAUUUCAUCUAAAGCUAAAUAUUGGCGAGAGACCGAUAGCGAACAAGUACCGUGAGGGAAAGAUGAAAAGAACUCUGAAAAGAGAGUUAUACAGUACGUGAAAUUGUCAAAAGGGAAGCGUUUGACACCAGUGUUGUUUUCUCGAAAAUCAAUUAAAAAAGGCAGGAUUUUGUGUUGUAUUGACUUUAUCAGCUUUCUGCACUCUUUUCUUGUCUUUUUUAAUGCACUUUUCGUUUAACAAGUCAACAUCAAUUUCUUUUGUUGUAAAAGGGUCAUUGGAAGGUGGCUUUCUUUUCGGAGAAAGUGUUUAUAGCCUUUGGCCUCUGCAAUCGGAGAGAUUGAGGUCUGCAGCGUAGAUCCUUCGGGGUUAGAUACAUUUGUGCUAAGUUAUAGCCUUUCAUAGACAACUUGUUGACUAUGAUCAGUCAUGUAGCUUACUCGCUUAUGCUAUUUUACCUACGCUUAGGAUGUUGAUGUGAUACUGCGAGC